Molecule: transfer RNA, 71 nt
Filed under: Sebastes oblongus
Lineage: Eukaryota; Metazoa; Chordata; Actinopteri; Perciformes; Sebastidae
Description: tRNA-Thr
Source: RNAcentral
GCAUUAAUAACUCACCGUCAAAACCCUGGUCUUGUAAACCUAUGUCUGAGGUUAAAAUCCUCCCUACUGCU